This 302-nucleotide ribosomal RNA is filed under the name uncultured bacterium. Its description in RNAcentral is "partial 16S ribosomal RNA". It matches the Rfam family "Bacterial small subunit ribosomal RNA", at positions 508 to 807 of the family's 1533-position model. The record is from RNAcentral.
GCAGCAGCCGCGGGAAUACAGAGGGUGCGAGCGUUAAUCGGAUUUACUGGGCGUAAAGCGUGCGUAGGCGGCUUCUUAAGUCGGAUGUGAAAUCCCUGAGCUUAACUUAGGAAUUGCAUUCGAUACUGGGAAGCUAGAGUAUGGGAGAGGAUGGUAGAAUUCCAGGUGUAGCGGUGAAAUGCGUAGAGAUCUGGAGGAAUACCGAUGGCGAAGGCAGCCAUCUGGCCUAAUACUGACGCUGAGGUACGAAAGCAUGGGGAGCAAACAGGAUUAGAUACCCCUGUAGUCCCUGUAUCUUAUAC